CCUGAAAUUAUAUAAUUGAACCUGCAAGGUGAGUAAACUUUAGAAAUUAGAACAAUGCUAUGUAAUUUUGACCUAUAUAUACUAUGUAUUUAAUCACGAGACUAUACCUUUAACUUAUGUCAAAAUGUGUCAACACUUAUAUAUAUUCAUUAAAUCAAAUUUUGACCUUAGUAUGUAAUUUUCCGACGAAGGGGUGUCGGUCAACACCCCUUGCUAUAGGGUAGCUCCACCCUGUCUAAAUGUAAUAUAUACACUAACAAGUUAAAAGAAGUUCCUCGGCUAGAAAAGUGUGUCCUUCCACCAACUACUUUUUCUUCGCAAAAUAAAUAAGAAAAGAUGGAUGUUCACUUUGUUGCACAAUAAAUAUCCCAUUGCAGGCAGGCAGGGGCGGACCUAUGUUGGGUCAAUGAACCUAUUUCAUAAAAAAAUUACACAGUAUAUAUAAGUAUAUUUGGUUUAUCUUUUGAAAAAUAUAAAUAUAAAUGAAAAAUUGACUCAUUUAAACAAAUGACAAUCCUUGGUAAAGUGGAUUUAUUUUUGUAGAAGUGUCCCAGUUCGAAACCGGACAACAACACAUUAAUUUAUUAGUUUUUUUUGUGAAUUUUCUUCUUCAUAUUUGAAUCCACUUGGUAAAUUUUUGGGUCCGCCACUAAAUUUGCCAAUAACAUUUCAUUAAAAUCCACAAACUAAUAUCUUCUUACAGAAAACAUGAUAUAUUUUUUUAUUUUGAUGUUACUUAUUAUUUUUAUUCGCACCACAGAGCCAACAACAAAAUAUGAUAGUGCAUGUCCACCACAAACGUUUGGACAAUCACAUUACAUUAAUAUUUUUGAAAUAUUAUUUUCAAGGAGCUAACUUGGUGGAAAAUUCAUAUUUUAUAACACGUUUAGUUUUUUAUUGAUUAGCGAUGGAAAAAACCCUCCGCUUCUAAUAGUGACUAUUAAUAUUGAUAUAUUGGACAUAACAAGUUGUUUGUCUUAUUUUCAAAUUACUAAAUUCACUUAUAUGGGCACUUAUAAUAAUGAUUAAAAAAGAUACACUUGACUAUUAUUAUUUUUGCAAGUCUCAUAUUUUAACUACAAGUUGUUCUCUUUCUUUUUUUGAACUAUCAUCAUUUGUAUACUAAUACAUACCUCGAAGCUAAUUAGUCCAACUAUCAAUUGUUUCCUUUUUUUAUCCAAACUAUCACCAUCUAUGUGUGUUUUAAUACACACCUAGAUGGUGAUAAUUUGGAUAGGAAAAGAUAGUUGGAAUGCAAAACUCGCUAUUAGUGAUAAUUCAAUUUUGAUUUUGAUCAUUAUUUCUUACCUAAUCUAUAGUAACAUCAAGGAAAUACGGAGAUUAGAGAUAUCUUCACCAUAACUUGUCAAUGUGAAAAGCAAUAUUGAUGAUUUUUCUAUGUUUAGCCCAUUUAACUGCUUCAUUGUUCAAGAUUCCUUUGGCUAAAAGCUUCAUGUGAAUGCAGCGGAAGCCUUCUAGAAAAUAUUACACAUUAGUGGUAAUUAAAAACAUUGAAAGCUUGAUGUUGGUGAUUUACAUGUAUAAAUCUAAUUAACAACAAAGAAAUGGGAAAUCAUACAAUAACUCUGUUGAUUGAAUACCUGAAUUUUCAUUUUGUUGGUGAGGAUUUGAUUUCUCACCUUAUAAUCUCCUCCCCAUUGAUAAGGUUGAAACUCAAACUCGCGUUUGUAAUUUAUUGUCAUG
Molecule: long non-coding RNA, 1704 nt
Filed under: Solanum tuberosum (potato)
Lineage: Eukaryota; Viridiplantae; Streptophyta; Magnoliopsida; Solanales; Solanaceae
Description: long non-coding RNA (STUB_LNC006782)
Source: RNAcentral